UGGUGGAGUGAUUUGUCUGGUUAAUUCCGAUAACGAACGAGACCUUAACCUGCUAAAUAGUCACGCAAACCUUGCUGUUUGUGGCCGACUUCUUAGAGGGACUGUUGACGUUUAGUCAAUGGAAGUUUGAGGCAAUAACA
This 140-nucleotide ribosomal RNA is filed under the name uncultured eukaryote. RNAcentral describes it as "partial 18S ribosomal RNA". It matches the Rfam family "Eukaryotic small subunit ribosomal RNA", at positions 1299 to 1458 of the family's 1831-position model. The record is from RNAcentral.